RNAcentral lists this non-coding RNA (918 nucleotides) under Cerrophidion godmani (Godman's montane pit viper). The record is from RNAcentral. Lineage: Eukaryota; Metazoa; Chordata; Lepidosauria; Squamata; Viperidae.
AGGUCUUGGUCUUAAACCUCACAUUACCUAAAAUCAUCUGUUUAUACAUGCAAGCCUCACCACGCCGGUGAAACAGCCACAACCACCCCGAGCCGGUAUCAGUCACUAUCUUACCACGACGCCAAGCAAUAGCCACACCCCCACGGGUAACACAGCAGUAAUUAACAUUAGGCCAUAAGUGAAAACUUGACCAAGCAAGAUUGAACAUAGGGCCGGUUAAUCUCGUGCCAGCGACCGCGGUUACACGAUAGGCCCAAGGUAAUACUAACGGCGUAAAAAUGACUAAAACGACAGUCCUAAGUCUAGGAAAGAAGCCAAGCCGGGCUGUAAAAAGCCAUAAGCCACACUAAUUACUACCCCUAACAUCACACAACUUUGACUCAUGAAAACUAGGACACAAACUAGGAUUAGAUACCCUACUAUGCCUAGCCGUAACACACAAUUAAACUACCAAUUGUUCGCCAAACAACUACGAGUCAUACUUAAAACUUAAAAGACUUGACGGUACUUCACCACGCCCUAGAGGAGCCUGUCUAAUAACCGACAACCCACGAUUAACCCAGCCCCUCCUUGCCCAACAGUCUAUAUACCGCCGUCGCCAGCCUACCUUGUAAAAGAAAUAAAGUAGGCUAAACAGUACCACACUAAAACGACAGGUCGAGGUGUAACUUAUGAAGGGGACUAAGAUGGGCUACAUUCUCCAACCGAACAUACGGAUAACACUAUGAAAUUAGUCUUUAAAGGCGGAUUUAGCAGUAAGAUAAGAAUAAAAUACCUAACUGAACAUAACGCAAUGAAGUGCGCACACACCGCCCGUCAUCCCUGCCACCACAACAAUAAACCUUAAUAAACCAAUUAAAUUAAACCAACCAGGGCAAGUCGUAACAUGGUAAGUGUACUGGAAAGUGCACUUAGAAA